Molecule: long non-coding RNA, 262 nt
Organism: Ipomoea nil (Japanese morning glory)
Lineage: Eukaryota; Viridiplantae; Streptophyta; Magnoliopsida; Solanales; Convolvulaceae
Exons: 2
Source: RefSeq, a predicted model, not a curated record
GCCAUAUUACAUUGAGCUACCAGAAUUUUCGGGUCACUGAUAUCCCUGGUAUCGUGAGGAGGCAUGAUGGUAUGACUCAGGCCUUUAUGUUUAAUAUAGGUAUCACUGCUCUUGAAGGACAGUUUCAUCGAAUCUUUCCCCUAUCGAGAUAAACCUUUUAUGAAGGUAUGUUUCUAAUGCUCAGUGUUAUAUAUUAACGGUUCUUUUUCUGUCUUGUGAACUAAGAUCAUUGUCCAUUCGAUUCAUAUUUGACUUUGUUUCC